RNAcentral lists this ribosomal RNA (148 nucleotides) under uncultured bacterium. RNAcentral's name for it is "partial 16S ribosomal RNA". It matches the Rfam family "Bacterial small subunit ribosomal RNA", at positions 364 to 509 of the family's 1533-position model. The record is from RNAcentral.
UUGGUCAAUGGUCGGGAGACUGAACCAGCCAAGCCGCGUGAGGGAGGAAGGUACAGAGUAUCGUAAACCUCUUUUGUCAGGGAACAAAGGCGGGGACGUGUCCCCGGAUGAGUGUACCUGAAGAAAAAGCAUCGGCUAACUCCGUGCC